Molecule: small RNA, 120 nt
Filed under: unclassified sequences
Description: LOOT RNA
Rfam family: LOOT RNA
About the family: Latescibacteria, OD1/Parcubacteria, OP11, TM7. Lineage (Microgenomates, aka OP11)
Source: Rfam by way of RNAcentral
UGCCUAAACCUGCCGUUCGGCGGGCAUGGCGCAAAGUCCGAUCAGAGCUAAUAAACCCAUCAUGUGGGAAUGCUCUGAUCGCCCGUAUCGGGAAACCGAUAUGGAGGGCUAAAAACCCUC